This 497-nucleotide ribosomal RNA is filed under the name uncultured bacterium. RNAcentral's name for it is "partial 16S ribosomal RNA". It matches the Rfam family "Bacterial small subunit ribosomal RNA", at positions 28 to 507 of the family's 1533-position model. The record is from RNAcentral.
GAUGAACGCUGGCGGCGUGCCUAAUACAUGCAAGUCGAGCGAACGGACGAGAAGCUUGCUUCUCUGAUGUUAGCGGCGGACGGGUGAGUAACACGUGGAUAACCUACCUAUAAGACUGGGAUAACUUCGGGAAACCGGAGCUCAUACCGGAUGAUAUUUUGAACCGCAUGGUUCAAAAGUGAAAGACGGUCUUGCUGUCACUUAUAGAUGGAUCCGCGCUGCAUUAGCUAGUUGGUAAGGUAACGGCUUACCAAGGCAACGAUGCAUAGCCGACCUGAGAGGGUGUACGGCGACACUGGAGCUGAGAGACGGUCCAGACUCCUACGGGCGGCAGCAGUAGGGAAUCUUCCGAAAUGGGCGAAAGACUGACGGAGCAGCGCCGCGUGAGUGAUGAAGGUCUUCGGAUCGUAAAACUCUGUUAUUAGGGAAGAACAUAUGUGUAAGUAACUGUGCACAUCGUGACGGUACCUAAUCAGAAAGCCACGGAUAACUACGUG